This is a non-coding RNA of Arachis ipaensis, 946 nucleotides long. NCBI's taxonomy places the organism in Eukaryota, Viridiplantae, Streptophyta, Magnoliopsida, Fabales, Fabaceae. The record is from RefSeq and is a predicted model, not a curated record.
GACAUAUUGGUAAACCCAAAACGACACACUGUUGGUUUGACGCCUAAUUUGGGCCAAACGACGUCGUUUUCAUGGGCAGAAGCAUAACUCAACGUUUUCUCUUUGUUACAAAACAAAAACACAAACGUCUUCCUUCAAAACCUAUCUUCAAUGGUGCUACUCUGAGUGAGGUUGCUACAAUGUCUUCCUUCAAAACUCGACUGGUCUCCACAGUUGGCUUUUUUGUCGUCGUUUGUGAGAGUAUUUUCAAAAAAUGAUUUCUCCAACAGAGAUAAGCAAAAGGGAUCUCUCUAGCCAUAAAAGAUGCUCUGUUUGUGGUAUAUUUCCUGCACGAGUUUUGUCCCUUAAGCAAGAGCUUACAGAUGGUCCAGCAGCUUCGGCUCUUUAGGGUUUUAAUGCAUGAAGGCGUCUUUGAUGUCAUCACCCAAAUUUUACAAAAUCAAGAUAAGAAGUUGGUGCUAAUUGGGUAUUGAUUCCUUUUUGUCACCUUGACCUAUUUAUGAUUUAGUUUUAGGUGUUCAUGCAUUUUCUAUGUUUAAUUUCUAAUGUAAACUUAUUAUGGUGAUUGCAUAACAGAUAUCCUGAUUCUCUUUUUGAAUCAAGUUCUUAAUCUUUUGCGAUCCUAUGUUAUUCGAUAGGAAGGAAUAAUACUUCUUGGACUUCUAGUAUGCUUUUUAUGUGAAUAAGAUUUUUCUUAUGACAUGAAUGUAUAAAAUUACUCAUAAGACAUUUAUUAAACAUAUUAUUCUGUACCGGUUAAAGGAAUGAUAACAAAUUUUAGGGACAAUAUGCAUUGCCAGUUUCUUGAGAUCCUUUACUGUUUAUUGAAUUCAUGUACAUUAUUUAGACCACAGGUACCUGUUAAUAAUAUUUUCUUUAAUUUUAAUUGUUUACCCGUAUUUGAUUGCUAUGGAUAUGAUAAUAAUUGUUAUAUAUGACAUAUUUA